Molecule: ribosomal RNA, 502 nt
Filed under: uncultured bacterium
Lineage: Bacteria
Description: partial 16S ribosomal RNA
Rfam family: Bacterial small subunit ribosomal RNA
Source: RNAcentral
GACGAACGCUGGCGGCGUGCCUAAUACAUGCAAGUCGAACGAACCGCGACUAGGUGCUUGCACUUGGUCAAGGUGAGUGGCGAACGGGUGAGUAACACGUGGGUAACCUACCUCAUAGUGGGGGAUAACAGUCGGAAACGACUGCUAAUACCGCAUAGGACAUAGGAUCACAUGAUCCAGUGAGGAAAGGUGGCGCAAGCUAUCGCUAAGAGAUGGACCCGCGGUGCAUUAGCUAGUUGGUAGGGUAAAGGCCUACCAAGGCGAUGAUGCAUAGCCGACCUGAGAGGGUGAUCGGCCACAUUGGGACUGAGACACGGCCCAAACUCCUACGGGAUGCAGCAGUAGGGAAUCUUCCGCAAUGGACGCAAGUCUGACGGAGCAACGCCGCGUGAGUGAAGAAGGUCUUCGGAUCGUAAAGCUCUGUUGUUAGAGAAGAACAGCGCAUAGAGUAACUGUUAUGCGUGUGACGGUAUCUAACCAGAAAGCCACGGCUAACUACGUG